UCGAAAAUCCAGACCACCUUUUCUUCACGACCUGCUGUUACCUGUGCUUAUUAUUUCACUGAGAAGCAGAAGCCUCUGAAGAGAAACUCAACAUCCUGCUACCAUCGCAUUUCCCAAGUGGCCCGUUCACCCUUCCUCGCAUUCCUUAAGAAUUCAUGCCAACAAGGCUUUCAUCUGCACUAUUUGACCGAAAACUCUCCUGUUGAAAGUCAGUAAUGACCGCAUUCACGCCAAAUCCAGUGGCAAUUUAAUUGGGAUGUUAUUAAGUGUCAGUGAGGGUAAAGCACUUCACAAAAGGCACAAAGACACAAUCACAGAAUCUUUGAAGGUUAUGAAGCAAAUGAUAAUGUCUACAUGAGCAUUAACUACCACUUUUUCACCAUCUCUGAAAUGAAAUAUGUGCUUUUGCGAAGUUUCACAAAAUACAGAAGUGAUAUAUGGGGAUCUCCGAGAGAUGGUUUUGCAAAUUGUAAAUGCAGAGAAGGAGUUAACCUACACUUCUUACUCCAGGUAUCUGACUAAAGCUGUUUUUCUUUAAGCCUGCAAAUCUGCCAGCGUGGAAAAAUUAGCAAUUAACAUUAGCAAGAAAAAUCUAUAGACCAAAGUCACAGAAAACCUGCCUGCCGGGUUUAACUUAUUUUAGGAUUUUUAAAAUAAAAAAACUACUUGAUGUUGUCUGUAAGUUUCUGGCUCUUUCUGAAGACAGUCAAGACUCCA
This is a long non-coding RNA of Mustela lutreola (European mink), 717 nucleotides long. RefSeq lists it as uncharacterized. The record is from RefSeq and is a predicted model, not a curated record. The transcript has 3 exons. NCBI's taxonomy places the organism in Eukaryota, Metazoa, Chordata, Mammalia, Carnivora, Mustelidae.